CGAGGUGUAGCGCAGUCUGCUCAGCGCAUCUGUUUUGGGUACAGAGGGCCAUAGGUUCGAAUCCUGUCACCUUGA
Molecule: transfer RNA, 75 nt
Filed under: Triticum aestivum (bread wheat)
Lineage: Eukaryota; Viridiplantae; Streptophyta; Magnoliopsida; Poales; Poaceae
Also listed under: 1 other name
Rfam family: tRNA
About the family: Transfer RNA (tRNA) molecules are approximately 80 nucleotides in length. Their secondary structure includes four short double-helical elements and three loops (D, anti-codon, and T loops). Further hydrogen bonds mediate the characteristic L-shaped molecular structure. tRNAs have two regions of fundamental functional importance: the anti-codon, which is responsible for specific mRNA codon recognition, and the 3' end, to which the tRNAs corresponding amino acid is attached (by aminoacyl-tRNA synthetases). tRNAs cope with the degeneracy of the genetic code in two manners: having more than one tRNA (with a specific anti-codon) for a particular amino acid; and 'wobble' base-pairing, i.e. permitting non-standard base-pairing at the 3rd anti-codon position.
Source: Rfam by way of RNAcentral